RNAcentral lists this ribosomal RNA (423 nucleotides) under uncultured microorganism. Its description in RNAcentral is "bacterial SSU rRNA". It matches the Rfam family "Bacterial small subunit ribosomal RNA", at positions 9 to 429 of the family's 1533-position model. The record is from RNAcentral.
GAGUUUGAUCGUGGCUCAGAUUGAACGCUGGCGGCAUGCCUUACACAUGCAAGUCGAACGGCAGCGAUGAUCUAGCUUGCUAGAUUGAUGGCGAGUGGCGAACGGGUGAGUAAUACAUCGGAACGUGCCCUGUAGUGGGGAUAACUAGUCGAAAGAUUAGCUAAUACCGCAUACGACCUGAGGGUGAAAGUGGGGGACCGCAAGGCCUCAUGCUAUAGGAGCGGCCGAUGUCUGAUUAGCUAGUUGGUGGGGUAAAGGCCCGACCAAGGCGACGAGUCAGUAGCUGGUCUGAGAGGACGAUCAGCCACACUGGGACUGAGACACGGCCCAGACUCCUACGGGAGGCAGCAGUGGGGAAUUUUGGACAAUGGGCGAAAGCCUGAUCCAGCAAUGCCGCGUGUGUGAAGAAGGCCUCGGUGUAAG